AUAAUCCAUCAUCUCUGAAACUGGCAGAUUCUGGCCAUACACCAGAGUCGAGUACACCAAUGAUCACAUCUUGACCAAAACCAGAAGCAGGCCAUAGCCCAGAAGCAGGAUUGAGGUUAAGAAACUUAGAGGAAUGUGUUGUGUGAGCUUCAACAGGCCUAUCUUUAUAAGCUGAAAGGAAACCUGGUGACUUCUUGAGAGCUUCAAAUUCAUCUUUAGACAAAACAACAUUGAAGCCAUGAAGCACAUUGUCGUAAGAAUAAAGAAGCUUUGGAACUGGAUGGUAGCCAUUUUGUGUAGUGGGAGCUUCAAUCUUGAUGGUAUCAAUAAUGGAAGAAUGCCAGUUUUGGUGAGUAGCAAAUAUUUUAGGCAUAAAAGUCUUGUCCAAAUGGACAAUGUAAGUAGACCUCUCUGCUAAUAAUAAAGAAGGGCCAAAAAGAAACCAAGAAAAGAGAAGAAAAGGUACUCCUCUCAUAGUUUUUUCUCUACACUUUGUGUUUCCUACUAUAACAAAGCCUCCUUAUAAUAUACACCCUUAUGAAACAGCCAUUGUUGGUUAUCUGUCUUUUUCUAUAACAGAAGAAAAGAUUUUGUGAAGUAGAUAGUGCAAUUUGACCAAUCGGUUAGCUGUCAUUUUCCAAGACUUGUCUGUUGAGUCAGUGGAUCUGUGGAGACUUUUGCUAGUUGUGUGCUCACCUAUGUUGGUUGGACUAUUCAAACAUGCCGCUGUAUGUGUGUCGGAUCCUUCAAAAAUAAUGCUUUUUUGGAGGAUCCGACACAGGUGCAGCAACACUUUUAAAAAGUCCAAGCAACAUAGGUGUUAACUACAUUCAAAAAUUCAGCUGAAAUAGUUAGUUGGUAAACCUAUGAGAACCGUCCAUUAUCUUUUCUUCGUUUGAUCAGGACCAUACCAGUAAUACAACACAUCCGACCCAACUAAUUGGGUGAUUUGUUAUUAUUAGUGUUAAUUUAGGACUGAUUUGAGUUUAAAUAUUUUUUCACUAAUUUAGUUUUUUGAAAUUUAUUUGUAAUUGCACUUUCAAAAUUUGCAAAUUAGUUGAUUUCAUAACUUUUAAAUAAAAUUAAAAAGGAAGAAACUGAAGCUAAUAAAGCUAGAUGAAAAAUUCGUUGAGGAUGAAGAUUUUUUUUUUUAUUGUAGAUGGAAAACUCUUCAACAUCUAUCAAUGGAGAUUUUGGAGAAGAUGGGAAGUAGGUCUUUUAAUAAAGAAGAAAACUCAAAUUGAAUGUGCCACGUGACAUUUUUACAUUGGUUUGAGGGUGUAUUUUUACUCCUCCACAUGCCUAUCAAACGUGAGAACACAACUGUUGUGAAAAUGGGUCAAAAGUGUUUAUUUAUUGUGAUUUAAUUGAAUUUCCUUGGCUUCUUCAUGCAUUUACUUUUUUAUAUUUUGAAUUCUUUUAGUGAAAAUUCUGACAUGACCACUAUAGUUAAUACCGCAGAGGUGGGCAAACAUUGUUAUGUCAAGAACAUAGACAUAUCGCUACAUGUCAAAAGAAAUUUAAACACAAAAAAGAAUCAUUUUCCCAAAAGAUCGAGCUUAUUUCAUCUCAGUUCAAUCUUCUCGUGAACAAAACCUACUACUUAUGCUUGCUUGGUAACUUGAUGUACUCUAAAGAUAUGUGAUAUCAUGUUUCCAGUUUCUUCAACUCGAUUCAAAUCAAGUUGACAAACUUACAGGUGUCUAAUUUCCCUAAUUUAUUUUCUCUAAUUUGGUUGUGUUAAUUUCAGUUUAGAAUUAUACAACUCUUCUUCAAAUUUUAAGCGGGAUUUUAUUUUGUAAGAACAAAACACUUUAUGAAACUAUGCCUAAUUAAGUCCUUUUCGUUCCUUUUCCGAUUCCUAUUCCUAUUUGGAUUCCGAUUCAAACUAGAUUUAUAGUUACAUAUUUUCUUCAAUAUAAAUAUACACCUUGAUUUCACAUAUGAUUUGUCUCUCAAUUUUUAAUUUUCUUCUUACUUUCUCCAAUUAAAAGAACAGAUCCUCAUCCUGAUACAGAAGACAUCGUGAAUUGGAAUCUUGAUAUUACAUGGAUUUUUCUAAGCAUAGGCCAUACAAUAACAAUGACAUAAUUGGCCGUGAAGAACUACCACGAAUUUCAGCCAAAUCAGGCCAUCAAAGGCUGAGAGAGAGAUUAGAAUUAUACGAAUUCGUAGAACAAGAAGUUUCAGGAGAUGGCAACUGUCAAUUUCACUCAAUUUCGGAUCAAAUAUAUGGGAGUUGUGAGCAUCACAAAUUAGUAAGGGAACAAGUUGUUAAACAACUAAAAUUUUAUGGAGAGUUGUAUGAGGGGUUUGUUGCAGUGGAAGAGUAUGAUGAAUACUUAAAGAGAAUGAGCAAUUGUGGUGAAUGGGGUGAUAAUGUAACUCUGCAGGCUGCUGCAGAUUCAUAUGGGGUUAAGAUAUUUGUCAUUUUUAAGGACACCGACUACAUUGAGAUUCUUCCGCAAAGUGAUUGUAACCACAAGUCGAACAAGAUGAUUUAUUUGAGUUUUUGUGCUGAAUUGCAUUACAAUUCAAUGUAUCUACAAGGAGAGUAUUCAGCUGGAGAAACCUACUGGUGGGCAUAGAUACCGAAGAACCGAAUCAAAGUGAUUUUUUUUUUAAACAGAGCAACAAUUUCGAAACGUAUAUUGUAUUAAAUAUACGGUUUUGCCAAUUAUAGGCCUUCACUCUUUAUUUAUAUAUUAUUUUCGUAUGAUUUUUGUAGUUAUUAGCUCUUCUAUUAUUAUAAUUUAUUUAUUACAUGCAAUGCUUUUGUGCCAAAAAAAGAAGAAGAGAAGUUAUUGAAUUGAUUUUUUCAAUCGUUUUUAUUUAAUUUUCAGGUUUUAUACCAUGAAUAAAUCUGUUAUUGACAAGGCAAAAUUAUUCAUGAAGUUUCUGCAUAAUAUGCUCUAUCGAAUUUUCUUGAGACGUAUAAUCAUGAAUUUUCUGCAUCAAGAGGUAUUUAUAAAUAGAGCAUGUAUAACAUGGUGGAGAUAGGAUAUUCACCAAUGUUGUUAAUGGAUGUUUUAUUUAGUACGGACAAGUUAUGCAAAUAUCGGCAUUUUUCGUUUUUAGCUCAAUUUAUUUAAAUUACUUAAAAUGAUCCUUCAGACCUAUUUUUUCCAAAAUAAUUAUCAUCUUCUUUUCCUUUAUAAUUCGACGUAUCGCAACAAGUUUUCGUGGCAUUGAAAAUUAUCUGCAACCAAAAUAAAUAAAGGAAAAUGUGAUUUUUAUUGAUGAAUCUUGUGAGUACAAUCGUGUUGUUCUCUUGUUUUUUCUCUCCUAAACUUCUCCGUGAUUCGAGGGCUUCAAUACCGUAUUUCUCUAAUGUAGGAUUAUGUAGACCUCCUUGAGAUGUAUUUGAUCUCCGGGAAAGUCGGAAAACACUUGGUUGUUUCAAGGCAAAAUUAUGCAUCAAGUCUCUGCAUAAUAUGCUGUAUAGAAUUUUGUUGAGAUCGUAUAAUCAUGAAAAGCCAGCGGUAUGAAUGUUAUAACAGAUUAAUGAUCUCUAUCUUGAUGACUAGUGAAGUGAAAAUUCUGUUCUGUGGUAAAGUAAGUUUUCCCCCCUCUUCAAUCCAUAUGAUUAAAUGAAGCUAAUCGGUUUUCUGUUUUCGUGUAGCUCUGCUAGUCAUAAUUCUUUCGAAAUGUCUGGGAAUACACAGAAACUAAGGCAUCUUAGGCACUAUAAAUUUUCUAGUUUCCUCACUCUUUACAACAAGCGGAUUAGAAUUUUCAGUUGUUCUAGCAUUACAUCUUUUAUGCAGUCAUAGAUUUUGCCAUGAGUUCAUUAAGUGGAUAUACUACUUUAUCGUGAUAUCGCCAACAGAUAUCUAAUGAGUUGAAUUCAACAUCUGCUUAUUUUAGUUCUUGUAGCAAAAAAAUGUUAGACAGAAAUAAAGUCAUGCUUUAUUGACAACUCAAAUGCAACAGUUCCAAUUUCAACAGUACUCUCUUGGAGAGUUACAAACUUAGAAAUGCAACAGUUUUGCCAACUGCAGCAUUUCAGGUCCAGGCAUCAAGCGCUGGAGCAACUACUAUAGGACUUCUUACGGUGUGAUGACCGUUCUCUUCAACCCAAGUGAUUGAACCAGAUUGUGCUUGGUCAUCUGCAAUGCCUUUGUAACGUAUGGUAAGAGUGUAGUCCUGCUUCUGAUUUUUCUUCUCAAACACUAAGGUUUGUGGAGAGAUGGAAAUUGUCGAGCUUUUUGGUGCUAUCACUUUUGCUACAUACUUAGCUGCACCGGCUCCAACAUUUGUGACUGUCCGCCUGAAUUUCUUCUCCAACCUAGAGUAUUUCCCAAUUGGGCUAAAGAGAGCAAUAAAUGAUGGGUAAUUGAUAUCAUCAGAUGGAUUUGAACAGUUGUGUUUAGCUGAUGAUCUAGCAAUUGUAUUGAAUUGCUCUAGUGUAAAAUUCAUGGAGCAGAGAAGAUUCACAUAGUCUUGUGGAGUGGCAUCAUAUAUCAGGCCUGGAUCAACUGCACGGUUUGGAUCAACAAGUCCGGCUCCCAUAGCUAAUGAUGUAGUAUUGCUGUUACCAUCCUCGGUUUUGAUGGGGUUUUUAGUAUUAUCCAAAUGGUUGGCAGUGGUCAUCAUGGCAGAUCGAAUAGCUGAAGGACUCCAAUCAGGAUGUGCUCCUUUAAGCAUUGCAGCGAUUCCAGCAAUGUGAGGAGCAGCCAUGGAAGUACCUGAUACAAGACGGUAAUCACUACCCAAAAAUGUAUUGACACCAAUAACUGUAUCUGAAUUGUUUGAUGGCCAGGCUGCUAGAAUUAACUCUCCUGGUGCCAUAAUAUCUGGCUUUGCUACUUGCAGAUAGCUUAGAGAGGGGCCUCUCGAGGAAAAUGCAGAAACAGCCGGAGCAGGCUUUACAUCAAUACGUGUUCCCUGGAAACUGAGGCUGACUUUUGGUUUAGCACUUUUGGUUGCAUAGUCUAUCACUUGUUUCCCUUCCUUGGUGCUAAUCACAACUCCAGGAUUUGGAAAAAAAUUGGAUGACAAUACAUCUGGAUCAUCAGAAAUAUAGAUGGCUCCUCCAAAUUUCGACUCUGAGAUAGCCGCCAUUUGGUCCUCUACUUCUACUGCAUUACUAAAACAAAUCAUAAUGCUACGUCCACCAUUAGGGACUUUGGCUAAUACAUCAGAUGAAUCACAAGGUGAUAUACUUUCGUUGUAAAGCACUGGAAAAUUCUUGAUGAUGGUUUUCACUGGAAACAAGCUAAAUCCAGUAAUAUUUACGCCAUUCCCAAGAGUUAAAGUCCCAUAGAAUGCUCGAUCAGUACUGCAUGACGCCACAGUAAAGAUCCAAGGGACACCAUUAUUUAUAGUUCCCAUUUCAGGGCCACUAUUUCCAGCUGAAGCAGAGAUUAAGACACCUUUCAUCAUGGCACCAAAAGAAGCUAUCGCAAUUGAAUCUUGAUACACUGGAAUCCUAACCCACCCAUAAGAAAUAGUUAUUAUGUCAACACCAUCUGCAACAGCUUGAUCCAUUGCAGCAAUUAAAUCAGAAGUGAAGGUUCCUUCCUCAAAGCUAAACUUAUACACAGCUAUCCUAGCUCGUGGCGCCAUACCUCUUGCUGUUCCAGUAGCAUAUCCAAAAUAUGAAGCGCCUUUAGCAAAAUUACCAGCAGCAAUGGAGGCAACAUGUGUUCCAUGACCUCUAGUAUCCCUUGCAGAAUUCAUUGAAAUAUUCACAGUAGGAUUAUCAGCCAAAAUCCCUUUGUUGAAAUAAUUAGCCCCAAUGAUUUUCCUGUUACACAAUGAAGAAUUAAAAUCUGUUCCUGCCUUGCAAAUUCCCUUCCACCUUUUUGGAAUUUCAGGCAAUCCAUCUUCACUGAAACUAGCAGAUUCUGGCCAGACACCAGAGUCGAGUACACCGAUGAUAACAUCUUGACCAAAACCAGAAGCUGGCCAUAGUCCAGAUGCAGGAUUGAGCUUAAGAAACUCUGAGGUAUGAGUUGUGUGAGCUUCAACACUCCUAUCUUUAUAAGCUGAAAGGAAACCUGCCGAUUUCUCGAGCAAUUCAAGCUCAUGUUUAGACAAAACAGCACUGAAUCCAUGGAUGACAUUGUCAUAAGAAUAAAGAAGUUUUGGAACUGGAUGGUGGCCAUUUUGUGUAGUGGGAGCUUCAAUCUUGAUGGUAUCAAUAAUGGAAGAAUGCCAAUUUUGGUGAGUAGCAAAGAUUUUAGGCAUAAAAGACUUGUCCAAAUGGACAAUGUAAGUAGACCUCUCUGCUGAGGUUCCUAAUAACAAAGAAGGACCAAAAAGACACCAAGAAAACAGAAGAAAAGGUACUCCUAACAUAGUUUUUUUCUCUACACUUUGUGUUAUUCCUUCUAUAACACAGCCUCCUUUAAAUAUACACCUUAAGAAACAGUCCUAGUUGACUGAUUUUGUGAAGUAAACUUGUUGGUAAGCUGUCAUUUUCUAAGACUUGUUGGUCAGUGGACCUGUGGAGACUUUUGCUAGUCUAAGUUGUGUGCUAACUGUGUUCACACUACACAGGAAGAAUGUUGCACCAUAUUUUUAAGUGUUCAAUUGAGAUUGGAAUAUAUAUCAAUCAAAAUACUAAUGAUUAAGUAACAAACAGUAUAUAGACAAAUAUUAUAUUCUUGUUGCUUUAAUGCAUGCACUAGAUAAAUUUUUCACAUAAAUGCUUAUAAGCUUUUCUUUUAUAUAUAUAUCUCCCUUUUUUUAGUUAUAUUAUAUUGUGAGUAAAUUGAGAAUCUUUUGCAAGUAAAAAGUUAUAUUUUUCUUUAAAUGACCCUACUAUAUUGUGAUUGAUUGGUAUGUCACAUAUCAAAAAAUGACCCUACCAUAUUGUGAUUGAUGAUUAGUAUGUCGCAUAUUAAAAAAUGACCCUACCAUAUUGUGAUUGAUGAUUAGUAUGUCGCAUAUUAAAAAAUGACCCUACCAUAUUGUGAUUGAUGAUUAGUAUGUCGCAUAUUAAAAAAUGACCCUACCUUAUUGUAAUUGAUUGGGAGGUACAUACUUUCUAAUUGUAUGCAUCCCCUCUCCCUCCUAUAUACACAGAGAGACUCUCUUUUUCUGUAUAUCUAUAUACUCAGUUCUAGUGGAGUAUAUGUACUAUUUUUGUACUCUUUUUUAUAUUAGUGAAUUCCUCAUACUUGAUCAAACCAUGUUAAAUUAUUGUCUCGUUUGAUAUAUUCUUUUUGUUAUUUCAUUUAUAUUUCGUACAAAAUUUGUAUUGUUAAAUGUUAGCUUCCACAUAACAUCUAAGUAUUUCAGUCCUAUUGUGUGAAUGUUGCUACUGAUUAAUGACCCCUAUUGCCAAUCAAACAUCUAUUCAACAAAGUCUUGGUUUUUUGGUAACACAAGAAAAUAAAACAUUAUUCAACAAUUACUUCAAACAUGCACAUGCUUUGCCAGAAUACUUCCAGCUACUUUAACAGAACCCUCUUGAGGAGAGUUACAAACUUACAAAUGCAACAGUAUUAUCAACUGCAGCAUUUCAGUUUGGGGCAUCAAUCAUUUUCAUUUGGGGCAUCAAGCGCUGGAGCAACUACUAUAGGACUUCUUACGGUGUGAUGACCGUUCUUUUCCACCCAAGUGAUUGAACCAGAUUGUGCUUGGUCAAAUUCAAUGCCUCUGUAACGUAUGGUAAGAGUGUAGUCCUGCUUCUGAUGUUUUUUCUCAAACACCAAGGUCUGUGGAGAGAUAGAAAUUGUCGAGUUUAUUGGUGCUUUCACUUUUACUUUGUACUUAGCUGCACCGGGUCCAACAUUUGUGACUGUCCUCGUGAAUUUCUGCUCCAACCAAGCAUAGUCCCCAUUUGGGAUAUAGAGAGCAAUAAAUGAUGGGUAAUUGAUAUCAUCGGAUGGAUUUGCACAGUUGUGCUUAGCUGAUGAUCUAGCAAUUGUCUUGAACUGCUUUUCUGUGAAAUUCAUGGAGCAGAGAAGAUUCACGUAGUCUUGUGGAGUUGCAUCAUAUAUCAGGCCUGGAUCAACUGCACGGUUUGGAUCAACAAGUCCAGCUCCCAUGGAUAAAGAUGUAGCAUAAUUGGUUCUGAGGUAAUCCAUGGUCUUGAUGGGCUUUUCAGUAUUAUCCAAAGGGCUUGCAGUGGUCAUCAUGGCAGAUCGAAUAGCUGAAGGACUCCAAUCAGGAUGUACUCCUUUUAGCAUUGCAGCAAUUCCGGAAAUGUGAGGAGCAGCCAUCGAAGUGCCUGAAAGAAGCCUGUAAUCACUAUCCAAAAAUGUAUUGACACCAAUGAUUGCAGCUGAAGUGUUCGAUGGCCAGGCUGCUAAAAUUAACUCCCCUGGUGCCAUAAUAUCUGGCUUUGCAACUCGUAGAUAGCUUAGGGAGGGGCCUCUCGAGGAAAAUGCAGAAACAACUGGAGCAGGCUUAACAGCAAAAUGUGUUUCCUGGAAACUGAUGCUGACUUUUGGUUUAGCACUUGUUUUUGCAUAGUCUACCACCUUUUCCCAAUCCUUGCUGCUAAUUACAGCUCCAGGAUUCGUAAAAUAAUUGGAUGUCAAUACAUCCGGAUCUCCAUAAACAUAGAGUGCGCCACCAAAUUUUGCCUCUGAGAUAGCCCCCAUUUGAUCAGAGACUGAUAAGUCUUCUUGUGCAGUGCUAUAACACAUCGUGAUGCUACGUGCUUUAUUAGGGACUUGGGCUAAAUCAUCAGAUGACUCACAAGCGGAUAAGCUGUCAUUGUAAACCAAAUCAAAAUCCUUUAUGGUGGUUCUCACUGGAAACAAGCUAAAUCCAGUAAUCUUUAAGCCAUUCCCAAAAGUUAUAGUCCCGGAAAAUGAUCGGUCAGUACUGCCUGAUGCCACAGUAAAGAUCCAGGGGACUCCAUUGGAUAAAGUUCCCAUUUCAGGACCAUUAUUCCCAGCUGAAGCAGAGACUAACACACCCUUCAUCAUGGCACCAAAAGAAGCUAUUGCAAUAGAAUCUUCAUACAAUGGACCAAAACCAUACCCAUAAGAAAUUGAUAGUAUGUCAACGCCAUCUGCAACAGCUUGGUCCAUAGCAGCAAUUAAAUCAGAAGUGACGGUCCCUUCUUCAAAGCUAAACUUAUAUACAGCAAUCCUAGCUUGUGGCGCAAUACCUCUUGCUGUUCCAGGAGCAUAUCCAAAAUAUGAAACUCCUUUAACAGAACUACCAGCAGCAAUGGAAGCAACAUGAGUGCCAUGACCUCUCAUAUCCCUUGCAGAAUUCAUGGAAAGAACAAUAGUAGGAUCACUAGCCAAAAGCCCCUUAUUGAAAUAAUUCGCCCCAAUGAGUUUCCUGUUGCAUAAAGAAGAAUUGAAAUCUGUUCCUGGCUUACAAAUUCCCUUCCACUUUUUUGGUAUUGCAGAUAGUCCAUCAUCUCUGAAACUAGCAGAUUCUGGCCAGACACCAGUGUCGAGUACUCCGAUAAUCACAUCUUCACCAAAACCAGACGCCGGCCAUAGCCCAGAAGCAGGAUUAAGCUUAAGAAACUCAGGGGAAUGUGUAGUGUGAGCUUCAACAGGCCUAUCUUUAUAAGCUGAAAGAAAGCCUGGUGACUUCUUGAGAGCUUCAAAUUCAUCUUUAGACAAAACAGCACUGAAUCCAUGAAGCACAUUGUCAUAAGAAUAAAGAAGCUUUGGAACUGGGAUGGUGGCUAUUUUGUGUAGUGGGAGCUUCAAUCUUGAUGGGUAUCAAUAAUGGAAGAAUGCCAAUUUUGGUGAGUAGCAAAGAUUUUAGGCAUAAAAGACUUAUCCAAAUGGACAAUGUAGGUAGACCUCUCAGCUGAGGUUCCUAAAAACAAAGAAAGACACAAAGAAAAGAGAAGAAAAGGUAGUAUUGUCUUCAUAGUU
This 9806-nucleotide long non-coding RNA is filed under the name Solanum tuberosum (potato). RNAcentral's name for it is "long non-coding RNA (STUB_LNC010264)". The record is from RNAcentral. Lineage: Eukaryota; Viridiplantae; Streptophyta; Magnoliopsida; Solanales; Solanaceae.